Molecule: ribosomal RNA, 910 nt
Filed under: uncultured bacterium
Lineage: Bacteria
Description: bacterial SSU rRNA
Rfam family: Bacterial small subunit ribosomal RNA
Source: RNAcentral
ACGCUGGCGGCGUGCCUAAUACAUGCAAGUAGAACGCUGAAGAGAGGAGCUUGCUCUUCUUGGAUGAGUUGCGAACGGGUGAGUAACGCGUAGGUAACCUGCCUUGUAGCGGGGGAUAACUAUUGGAAACGAUAGCUAAUACCGCAUAACAAUGGAUGACACAUGUCAUUUAUUUGAAAGGGGCAAAUGCUCCACUACAAGAUGGACCUGCGUUGUAUUAGCUAGUAGGUGAGGUAACGGCUCACCUAGGCGACGAUACAUAGCCGACCUGAGAGGGUGAUCGGCCACACUGGGACUGAGACACGGCCCAGACUCCUACGGGAGGCAGCAGUAGGGAAUCUUCGGCAAUGGGGGCAACCCUGACCGAGCAACGCCGCGUGAGUGAAGAAGGUUUUCGGAUCGUAAAGCUCUGUUGUAAGUCAAGAACGAGUGUGAGAGUGGAAAGUUCACACUGUGACGGUAGCUUACCAGAAAGGGACGGCUAACUACGUGCCAGCAGCCGCGGUAAUACGUAGGUCCCGAGCGUUGUCCGGAUUUAUUGGGCGUAAAGCGAGCGCAGGCGGUUUGAUAAGUCUGAAGUUAAAGGCUGUGGCUCAACCAUAGUUCGCUUUGGAAACUGUCAAACUUGAGUGCAGAAGGGGAGAGUGGAAUUCCAUGUGUAGCGGUGAAAUGCGUAGAUAUAUGGAGGAACACCGGUGGCGAAAGCGGCUCUCUGGUCUGUAACUGACGCUGAGGCUCGAAAGCGUGGGGAGCGAGCAGGAUUAGAUACCCUAGUAGUCCACGCCGUAAACGAUGAGUGCUAGGUGUUGGAUCCUUUCCGGGAUUCAGUGCCGCAGCUAACGCAUUAAGCACUCCGCCUGGGGAGUACGACCGCAAGGUUGAAACUCAAAGGAAUUGACGGGGGCCCGCA